GUGGGGAAUUUUGGACAAUGGGCGAAAGCCUGAUCCAGCAAUGCCGCGUGUGUGAAGAAGGCCUUCGGGUUGUAAACUGCUUUUGUACGGAACGAAACGGUCCUGGUUAAUACCUGGGGCUAAUGACGGUACCGUAAGAAUAAGCACCGGCUAACUACGUGCCAGCAGCCGCAGUAAUACGUAGGGUGCGAGCGUUAAUCGGAAUUACUGGGCGUAAAGCGUGCGCAGGCGGUGCUGUAAGACAGGCGUGAAAUCCCCGGGCUCAACCUGGGAAUUUCGCUUGUGACUGCAGUGCUGGAGUACGGCAGAGGGGGAUGGAAUUCCGCGUGUAGCAGUGAAAUGCGUAGAUAUGCGGAGGAACACCGAUGGCGAAGGCAGUCCCCUGGGCCUGUACUGACGCUCAUGCACGAAAGCGUGGGGAGCAAACAGGAUUAGAUACCCUUGUAGUCC
This 450-nucleotide ribosomal RNA is filed under the name uncultured bacterium. RNAcentral's name for it is "partial 16S ribosomal RNA". It matches the Rfam family "Bacterial small subunit ribosomal RNA", at positions 354 to 796 of the family's 1533-position model. The record is from RNAcentral.